RNAcentral lists this ribosomal RNA (200 nucleotides) under uncultured organism. RNAcentral's name for it is "partial small subunit ribosomal RNA". It matches the Rfam family "Bacterial small subunit ribosomal RNA", at positions 1182 to 1382 of the family's 1533-position model. The record is from RNAcentral.
ACGUCAAGUCAUCAUGGCCCUUACGGGCUGGGCUACACACGUGCUACAAUGGCGGUGACAGUGGGCAGCCACUCCGCGAGGAGGAGCUAAUCCCAAAAAGCCGUCUCAGUUCGGAUUGUUCUCUGCAACUCGAGAGCAUGAAGUCGGAAUCGCUAGUAAUCGCGGAUCAGCAUGCCGCGGUGAAUACGUUCCCGGGCCUU